UUCUUCUUCUUCUUCUUCUCUCGAAGACGAGCUCUCUUUGGAUCUCAUCCAUGGAUCAGAAGCUUUUCUCCAAAGUCUUAACACGCUAUGCUAUAGCUGGCCGAUCUUACCACACGAAUCGGUUGAAAAAGGCGACUCUAUAUGCGAAAAUUAGUCCACUGGGCGAUCCUAGCAUCAGCGUGGAGCCGGAGCUCGACGGUUGGGUUCAGGAGGGGAAG
RNAcentral lists this unclassified non-coding RNA (218 nucleotides) under Hevea brasiliensis (rubber tree). Lineage: Eukaryota; Viridiplantae; Streptophyta; Magnoliopsida; Malpighiales; Euphorbiaceae. The record is from RNAcentral.